AUUGAACGCUGGCGGAAUGCUUUACACAUGCAAGUCGAACGGCAGCACGGACUUCGGUCUGGUGGCGAGUGGCGAACGGGUGAGUAAUGUAUCGGAACGUGCCCAGUCGUGGGGGAUAACGUAGUGAAAAUUACGCUAAUACCGCAUACGAUCUAUGGAUGAAAGCGGGGGAUCGCAAGACCUCGCGCGAUUGGAGCGGCGGAUAUCAGAUUAGGUAGUUGGUGGGGUAAAGGCCCACCAAGCCAACGAUCUGUAGCUGGUCUGAGAGGACGACCAGCCACACUGGAACUGAGACACGGUCCAGACUUCUACGGGAGGCAGCAGUGGGGAAUUUUGGACAAUGGGCGAAAGCCUGAUCCAGCCAUUCCGCGUGCAGGAUGAAAGCCCUCGGGUUGUAAACUGCUUUUGUACAGAACGAAAAGGCUUCUACUAAUACUAGGAGCUCAUGACGGUACUGUAAGAAUAAGCACCGGCUAACUACGUGCCAGCCGCCGCAGUAA
Molecule: ribosomal RNA, 500 nt
Filed under: uncultured bacterium
Lineage: Bacteria
Description: partial 16S ribosomal RNA
Rfam family: Bacterial small subunit ribosomal RNA
Source: RNAcentral